This 215-nucleotide ribosomal RNA is filed under the name uncultured fungus. RNAcentral's name for it is "partial small subunit ribosomal RNA". The stretch from base 46 to 215 matches the Rfam family "Eukaryotic small subunit ribosomal RNA", at positions 693 to 864 of the family's 1831-position model. Lineage: Eukaryota; Fungi. The record is from RNAcentral.
AGACCGGCUUAUUGGUCGUGCUAUUGUACGUACUGGUAUAAUCGGUUUCUCCUUUCUGACGAACUUUAAUGCCAUUAAUUUGGUGUUUUAGGGAAUCAGGACUGUUACUUUGAAAAAAUUAGAGUGUUUAAAGCAGGCUCACGCUUGAAUACAUUAGCAUGGAAUAACGGAAUAGGACGUUUGAUUCUAUUUUGUUGGUUUCUAGGAUCGACGUA